CGUGUUCUGUUGCCACCGGAUGUAAAUCCGAGCACUCUGGACAGACUGCCUGGUUUCAACUAGGAGGAAGGUGGGGAUGACGUCAAGUCAGUAUGCCCCUUACGGCCAGGGCUGCACACGUACUACAAUGCCUGAUAUAAUGGGAAGCAAGACCGCGAGGUGGAGCAAAUCCUCAAAAAUCAGGCCCAGUUCAGAUUGUAGGCUGCAACUCGCCUACAUGAAGGAGGAAUCGCUAGUAAUGCCGUAUCAGCUACGACGCAUGAAUACGUUC
RNAcentral lists this ribosomal RNA (271 nucleotides) under uncultured bacterium. RNAcentral's name for it is "partial 16S small subunit ribosomal RNA". It matches the Rfam family "Bacterial small subunit ribosomal RNA", at positions 1106 to 1373 of the family's 1533-position model. The record is from RNAcentral.